Non-coding RNA from Nanorana parkeri, 73 nucleotides. NCBI's taxonomy places the organism in Eukaryota, Metazoa, Chordata, Amphibia, Anura, Dicroglossidae. The record is from the annotation of a RefSeq genome assembly.
GCUUGAUAGCUUAAUUAAAGUAAAGCCCCGACCUUGUAAGCCGGAGACUGUAGCUUAAACCCUACUCAAAACU